Molecule: long non-coding RNA, 815 nt
Organism: Dicentrarchus labrax (European seabass)
Lineage: Eukaryota; Metazoa; Chordata; Actinopteri; Moronidae
Exons: 2
Source: RefSeq, a predicted model, not a curated record
GUUGGGGUGAGAGAGAGAGAGAGAGAGAGAGAGAGAGAGACAGACAGACAGACAGACAGGUGCACAGCAACAACAGUAUUGGCAAUGGCAGUCAAGCAGGACCAUGGCAGGAGGCUCCACCAGGAUCCAUGAGAACCUGGGAGACGAGAAAGCACAAGAACUCCGGGGAAGAAGUGAAGUUAGUAACAUGCAUUAAUGGGACAUGAAUGAGUGCAGAAAGAGAGAGGAAGGGAGGAGCUCAGUGCACCAUGGGAAAUCCCCCGAUAGUCUAGGCCUAUAGCAGCAUAACUAAGGGAUGGUUCAGGACUCACCUGAUCCAGCCCUAACUAUAAGCUUUAUCAAAGAGGAAUGUCUUAAGCCUACUCUUGAAUGUGGUGAGGGUGUCUGCCUCCCGAACCACAACUGGAAGCUGGUUCCACAAGAGAGGAGCUUGGUAACUGAAGGCUCUGGCUCCUGUUCUACUUUUAGAGACUAUAGGAACCACAAGUAGCCCAGCAUUCAGAGAACGUAGUGUUCUAGAGGGGUAAUAGGGUACUAUGAGCUCUUUAAGAUAUGAAGGGGCCUGACCAUGAAGAGCUUUAUAGGUGAGGAGGAGGAUUUUAAAUUCAAUUCUACAUUUUACAGGGAGCCAAUGCAGAGAAGCUAGUACAGGAGAGAUGUGAUCUCUUUUUCUAGUUCCUGUCAGUACUCGUGCUGCAGCGUUCUGAAUUAAUUGGAGCGUUUUAAUGGACUUAUUGGGGCAACCUGAUAAUAAAGAGUUGCAGUAAUCCAGCCUUGAAGUAACAAAUGCAUGGAUUAGUUUUUCUGCAUCUGUC